RNAcentral lists this ribosomal RNA (416 nucleotides) under uncultured Methanocalculus sp. RNAcentral's name for it is "bacterial SSU rRNA". It matches the Rfam family "Archaeal small subunit ribosomal RNA", at positions 922 to 1338 of the family's 1478-position model. Lineage: Archaea; Methanobacteriati; Methanobacteriota; Methanomicrobia; Methanomicrobiales; Methanocalculaceae. The record is from RNAcentral.
ACAACUCACCGGAUACGACAGCGGAAUGAUAGCCGGGCUGAAGACUCUGCUUGACUAGCUGAGAGGAGGUGCAUGGCCGUCGUCAGUUCGUACUGUGAAGCAUCCUGUUAAGUCAGGCAACGAGCGAGACCACGCCAACAGUUGCCAGCAUGAUCUCCGGAUUGAUGGGGACACUGUUGGGACCGCCUCUGCUAAAGGGGAGGAAGGAAUGGGCAGCGGUAGGUCAGCAUGCCCCGAAUUAUCCGGGCUACACGCGGGCUACAAUGGAUGGGACAAUGGGUUUCGACACCGAAAGGUGAAGGUAAUCUCCUAACCCCACCCGUAGUUCGGAUUGCGGGCUGCAACUCGCCCGCAUGAAGCUGGAAUCCGUAGUAAUCGCGUCUCACGAUGGCGCGGUGAAUGUGUCCCUGCUCCUU